RNAcentral lists this ribosomal RNA (468 nucleotides) under uncultured bacterium. Its description in RNAcentral is "partial 16S ribosomal RNA". It matches the Rfam family "Bacterial small subunit ribosomal RNA", at positions 28 to 507 of the family's 1533-position model. The record is from RNAcentral.
GACGAACGCUGGCGGCGUGCUUAACACAUGCAAGUCGAACGGAAAGGCCCUGCUUUUGUGGGGUGCUCGAGUGGCGAACGGGUGAGUAACACGUGAGUAACCUGCCCUUGACUUUGGGAUAACUUCAGGAAACUGGGGCUAAUACCGGAUAGGAGCUCCUGCUGCAUGGUGGGGGUUGGAAAGUUUCGGCGGUUGGGGAUGGACUCGCGGCUUAUCAGCUUGUUGGUGGGGUAGUGGCUUACCAAGGCUUUGGAGGGUAGCCGGCCUGAGAGGGUGACCGGCCACAUUGGGACUGAGAUACGGCCCAGAGUCCUACGGGAGGCAGCAGUGGGGAAUAUUGCACAAUGGGCGGAAGCCUGAUGCAGCAACGCCGCGUGCGGGAUGACGGCCUUCGGGUUGUAAACCGCUUUCGCCUGUGACGAAGCGUGAGUGACGGUAAUGGGUAAAGAAGCACCGGCUAACUACGUG